GGGUACCAUUGCUAGAUAGUUACUCUGAUUGAUAUAGAAAUCAGUUCUUGUGCUACCGAUUUAGGUUCGAACCUAUGGGGUCACACACAUUAGAAGUUCCUCUCCGAUCACAUGGCUAAUCUGAAAAGUCCUAGUGGACGGAGACUCUGAUGAAGAGUCCCACUAGAUUUGGACUCUAUCAUUAAUAGAAGAUUAAUUAGUAAUUAAA
RNAcentral lists this long non-coding RNA (208 nucleotides) under Elaeis guineensis (African oil palm). Its description in RNAcentral is "long non-coding RNA (EGUI_LNC078834)". The record is from RNAcentral. Lineage: Eukaryota; Viridiplantae; Streptophyta; Magnoliopsida; Arecales; Arecaceae.